RNAcentral lists this ribosomal RNA (301 nucleotides) under uncultured bacterium. RNAcentral's name for it is "partial 16S ribosomal RNA". It matches the Rfam family "Bacterial small subunit ribosomal RNA", at positions 509 to 807 of the family's 1533-position model. The record is from RNAcentral.
CAGUCGCCGCGGGAAAACGGAGGGGGCUAGCGUUGUUCGGAAUUACUGGGCGUAAAGCGCACGUAGGCGGCUUUGUAAGUCAGAGGUGAAAGCCCGGGGCUCAACCCCGGAAUUGCCUUUGAGACUGCAUCGCUUGAAUCCAGGAGAGGUGAGUGGAAUUCCGAGUGUAGAGGUGAAAUUCGUAGAUAUUCGGAAGAACACCAGUGGCGAAGGCGGCUCACUGGACUGGUAUUGACGCUGAGGUGCGAAAGCGUGGGGAGCAAACAGGAUUAGAUACCCGGGUAGUCCCUGUCUCUUAUAC